CACCUGGCAGAAGAAGAUAGAAUGAGCCUGGGAACUCGGGGUUGAAAGUAUAAACAAUUAUAAUUGGUAUAGUGUGUGGGAAUAGUAGAAAUGUGAUACAAGGGGUGGGGUUUGAUGAUGAUAUUUGCGUGUGGUGUUACGUUGCAUCAGAGGUGAUAAAAAUGAUUGUAUGUAAACAUUAGGUCAUUCUCGACUUUUCCCAAAGUCAUGUAUUCUUCAAUAAAGAUUGGAUCUGAGAGCAGCUAUCUUUGAUCUGCGUUCAGACUGGUCCUUUGAAGUGAGCGUGACAAUUAAGUCGAGAAUCCCGUUCUCACCCUCCUGCGGAUUCGCAGUGAAGUGAUAAUGAAUGAAGAAGGAGAUCAAAGCCCAAAUGGAGCAGGGAGGCCUUUGCCAGGGGCCCGGCCGUUGGGGGAAGAGACGCUGCAAGCCAUAGCUUCCUCUACGGGGUACCCCAGGCCGAACGGCGUGACCCAGAGGAUUCCCAGAGGAGGAAGAGGCGUUUCUGCGGCUGCAGAAACCAGUUGGGGAUCUGGAGGAAGCAUGCCGGAGACCGUGGCCCUGCGGUUAUCCAUCCUGGAAACUAAUUUAUCCAGGCUGUCGGAAACCGUGGGGAGGUUGGUGCCACUAUUGGAAGAGAAUCUCCAAAAGGAGCCCACCCGAUAUGGUGCCGAGAGAGAGCCAAGUAAAGAAGGAGAUUGGAGCCAGAGGGGCCAGCGCGCCUCAACGCAGAGCCCCGUGGAGGCGAGGGGUGAGGGGGAUGAGGAAUACUGUCAGGAACUGGAGUUCCGAGACAGAAUAGCGCGCGAAGUGGAGCGCCAGCAAGCUCUGGGAACUCUGAGGCCGCCAACUCCAACAGAACUUCCAACCCCCCGAAUGGGCGUCGGGGUGGAAAGACCACUGGGGCCAGGGAUCGGGUCCAGUGGAUUAGCGGACGAAGGCGGAGAGGAGCCGGAGAUUCAGGAAGAGGAGGAGGAUGUGCCGUACGACGAGGGAAGGCGAGGUGCGGCAGCUACAGCGAGGCCCGCAUUCGGAUGGGUGGAAGGGCCAACAGCAGCGGCAGAAUUUCGGGAGCCGCGCGCAGAACGGCCGCCGGAGUGGGGGUGUUCAAAGGGGCCGUCCAAGGAAACCCGAUGCAACCCUUC
Molecule: long non-coding RNA, 1142 nt
Filed under: Anolis carolinensis (green anole)
Lineage: Eukaryota; Metazoa; Chordata; Lepidosauria; Squamata; Anolidae
Description: lncRNA (ENSACAG00000042121.1)
Source: RNAcentral